RNAcentral lists this ribosomal RNA (253 nucleotides) under uncultured bacterium. RNAcentral describes it as "partial 16S ribosomal RNA". It matches the Rfam family "Bacterial small subunit ribosomal RNA", at positions 524 to 776 of the family's 1533-position model. The record is from RNAcentral.
UACAGAGGCCUCGAGCGUUAGGCGGAAUCACUGGGCGUAAAGAGUGUGUAGGCGGUGUUCCCAGUCUGUUGUGAAAUCUCCCGGCUUAACUGGGAGGGUGCAGCGGAAACUAGAAUGCUAGAGGGUGGGAGAGGUAAGCGGAAUUCCUGGUGUAGCGGUGAAAUGCGUAGAUAUCAGGAGGAACACCGGUGGCGAAGGCGGCAUCCUGGACCAACACUGACGCUGAGGAGCGAAAGCCAGGGGAGCAAACGGG